UACAGAGGGUGCUAGCGUUGUUCGGAAUCAUUGGGCGUAAAGGGCGUGUAGGCGGUUUGUUAAGUCAUGUGUGAAAGCCCCCGGCUCAACCGGGGAACGACGCAUGAAACUGGCAAGCUAGAGUACCGAAGAGGGGGGUGGAAUUCCCGGUGUAGCGGUGAAAUGCGUAGAUAUCAGGAGGAACACCUGUGGUGUAGACGGCUUACUGGACCGCAACUGACGCUGAGACACGAAAGCGUGGGUAGCAAACAGG
This 253-nucleotide ribosomal RNA is filed under the name uncultured bacterium. RNAcentral's name for it is "partial 16S ribosomal RNA". It matches the Rfam family "Bacterial small subunit ribosomal RNA", at positions 524 to 776 of the family's 1533-position model. The record is from RNAcentral.